AAUCACUCGAAAGCAAAGCAGUCGGUCGUCAACACUGAAACCCUCGGCCACUCACGCGACACCGCACCCGCGCCCCCAUCUCCGGCGACGGGGCCAUCAUGAGCGGCGGCAGCGGCAGCCCGAGCGGGCCGGACUCCCGCGUGGAGACCAUCUCCCGCCUCGCCCAGUGGCGCAUCGACACCUUCGGCCCCUGCUCCUACCGCCGGUCCGACCCUUUCAAGCUCGGCAUCUGGAACUGGUACCUGUCAGUGGAGAAGAGCAGGUCGGUGUACGUGCGGCUCUUCCCGGAGCCCGGCCGGCUGGCCAAGGAGCAGCCGCCGCUCGCCCGCUUCGUGCUCCGCGUCUCCUGGGUUGGCCCGCCGCGCCGCUCCAGCGUCUCCCCAGUUUUCGAGCAGCUUCUCCGAAGCAGCGAUGAUUUUGUGUGGCAAGUUGAUGUGAUGUCCCACGGGCGUUUUACGAUUGACGUUGAGUUCUUGGACCUGAAGAUAGCCACGAACAAUGCAAGUGUCCUCUGUCCUUUUCCCCUCGAAUCAGCUUCAAACGGUUCCUUCUUCUUUGUAGGAUAUACUCCCUCCAUCCCCAAAUACAUGGCAUAUAAACUUACUGCCAUGUAUUUGGAGACGGAGGGAGUAUAUAUUUUAUAGGCAUGUGUAAGUAGUAACCUCUGUCAGGAUUUUCUAAAAUGUGAUCCAGUUUUAAUUAAUGUGCGGACAGGGCACUGAAUCGUCGUCGUCGAUCUGGCCGAAUGAAGGCAUGGUGCAGGGCGUGGCCAGCAAGAGCACCCUGGGCUGCCUCUCGCGCAUGCUCACGGAGUCCAUCCACGCGGACGUGACCAUAAACACGACGGACGGCGUGCUGAAGGCGCACAAGUCGGUGCUGGCGGCCUGCUCGCCCGUGUUCGAGAGCAUGUUCGUCCACGACCUCAAGGAGAAGUCAUCGUCGACGAUCGACAUCGGGGACAUGUGCGUGGAGUCGUGCUCGGCCCUGCUGGGUUCGUGUACGGGACGAUCCGGCAGGAGCAGUUCUGGAAGCACCGGCUGGCGCUGCUGGCGGCGGCCAACAAGUACGGGCUGGGCGAGGUGAAGGCGUGCUGCGAGGAGAGCCUGCUGGAGGACAUCAGCUCGGGCAACGUGCUGGAGCGGCUCCACGUGGCGUGGCUGUACCAGCUGGAGCGGCUCAAGAAGGGGUGCCUGGCGUACCUGUUUGUGUUCGGGAAGAUCUACGACGUGCGGGACGAGAUCAGCGGGUUCUUCCAGCACGCGGACCGCGAGCUCACCCUGGAGAUGUUCCAGGAGGUGCUCAGCGUGUGGAAGCCCAUCUGAAGCUUGUGUGUACAUAGGGUUUGUGGAACCACAAAGAUCAAAGGGAAGAAGCUACUGGAAAGAGUGGAAAGAAUAGCCCCAAAAGUAUACAAGGUACGUAGGGUUUAUGAAAAGGUGUACAGUAUAAAAUACGUACAUACAUAGUGCAAACUGAGAAUUUACACCAAUGUAAUUAUGCAAAUGUGACUCGCUACCGGUGUGUGCCGGGUGUGUAAGAAGUUUGUGAGCAAGUGGUGUAAUUAACAGUAUUAUACCUUUGCUCUGUUGUCCAGCAUGAACCCUGGUACAGUACGUAUAUGUGACUCAUCUAGAUUGGAUUAUGGAGUUGAUCUGGCUGGCGUGCCGUGUCUCGUCUGCUCUAGAAUUGGUCCUGGUAGUACUAGUAGAGAUUGGUUAACUACGAGGUUUGCUGAUAGGUUACGGAUGAUGAGUUAGACUUGGCAAGGCGCGCGGUAGGUCUGGUCUGCAGGUCUGGGUUUCGCCGCCCCAAUCUGGAUUACACAGCUUGACUUUGUACC
Molecule: ribosomal RNA, 1840 nt
Filed under: Triticum aestivum (bread wheat)
Lineage: Eukaryota; Viridiplantae; Streptophyta; Magnoliopsida; Poales; Poaceae
Description: partial small subunit ribosomal RNA
Source: RNAcentral